Molecule: long non-coding RNA, 685 nt
Filed under: Hordeum vulgare
Lineage: Eukaryota; Viridiplantae; Streptophyta; Magnoliopsida; Poales; Poaceae
Description: long non-coding RNA (HVUL_LNC018563)
Source: RNAcentral
AUAUAGAUAGGUUCAACAACCAAUGCAUUAUUCGAUCCACACGUACAGAGUUCAAGAAUUACGUCAACAAAAGAAUUACAUAAGCACCAAAUAAAGAAUGAUGAACAAUAAUUGAAUACUUGUAUUAAAAACGGUAAAAAGGCAAAAGAUAUUCUGAUUGGUGUAAAAGGUGAAGCGGAAUACCCGUAGUGUGCCCUCCUCCAUAUCAAAUGCACACAUGACUGUAGUCCAACCCCUUGUAAUGGCCGACCGCCCAUCCUUCAAUGUCUUCAUGAGGACUUUGAGAUACUCAUUGUAAUAUGGGAGAAAUGCAUGUACAUUUGCAUGUCCAACAAUCAUGUAGUUUGAGAGAUGAUUUGAGUAAACUAUGUAUCAUUGUAAAGGAAAAAGAUACGGGCAUUGUUACCUAACAACUCAUUAUGGGCAGUAAAAAGGCUAUAGAGUUUUGAGUUCAUAUAGUGUAGAUCACCGUUGUCUUGGACAAACCAUAAAUAAAUAGUUUAAUUAUCACAUUUUGACCCAUUGUACUAACAAUCUUUAUUAGUUACCUCGCACGAUGCUGGUUCAUGAAUACCUCAUUGUCACAUACGCAAAAAAGGUCUAAGCACGGCUAUUUACCAGUGAAAUAUGUACCUACAAGCAACAAGUAUAUUAGAAGCUAAAUUGCAAUUGCACAAUGAUGUAG